This 73-nucleotide transfer RNA is filed under the name Camelus bactrianus (Bactrian camel). It matches the Rfam family "tRNA". From Rfam's summary of the family: Transfer RNA (tRNA) molecules are approximately 80 nucleotides in length. Lineage: Eukaryota; Metazoa; Chordata; Mammalia; Artiodactyla; Camelidae. The record is from Rfam by way of RNAcentral. RNAcentral also lists the same sequence under 1 other name.
GGGUGUGUAGCUCAAGUGGCAGAGCACAUGCUUAGCAUGCAGGAGGCCCUGGAUUCAGUCCCCAGUACCUCCA